RNAcentral lists this ribosomal RNA (349 nucleotides) under uncultured Candidatus Saccharibacteria bacterium. RNAcentral's name for it is "bacterial SSU rRNA". It matches the Rfam family "Bacterial small subunit ribosomal RNA", at positions 553 to 899 of the family's 1533-position model. Lineage: Bacteria; Candidatus Saccharimonadota. The record is from RNAcentral.
AUUGGGCGUAAAGAGUUGCGUAGGUGGCAGAGUAAGUAAGAAGUGAAAGCGUUCGGCUCAACCGGAUAGACAUUUCUUAAACUGCUCAGCUAGAGAACGAGAGAGGUAGAUGGAAUUCCCAGUGUAGGAGUGAAAUCCGUAGAUAUUGGGAGGAACACCGAUGGCGUAGGCAGUCUACUGGCUCGUUUCUGACACUAAGGCACGAAAGCGUGGGGAGCAAACAGGAUUAGAUACCCUGGUAGUCCACGCCGUAAACUAUGGAUGCUAGCUGUUAGAAGUAUCGACCCUUCUAGUAGCGAAGCUAACGCGUUAAGCAUCCCGCCUGUGGAGUACGGUCGCAAGACUAAAA